GGCAGGAAGGAAGGGCUUAUUGAAUUGGACCACUUGUCAAGGCAGCUUACAAAAGUCAGAAAUUUAAAAGCAGCCACACUAAGCUUGUCUACAUUUUCCAUAAAAUUUCCAAAAUAAAUACUGGAAAAAAACAUGGAAAUACAUAAGACAUCAACACAAAAUAGCACAGCACCAGAAUGAAUGCGGAAGUUAUCAGGAGUGGUGUGGCAUUGUUCCUGUUCAUUUAUGCUUUACAGAUUCCAAAAGUCUGAACCAGAUAUGAGUAGAGUACAGUUUGAGAAAUGUCUUGGUAGAACAGAUACUAAGGAAAUAAUAAAGAGCAGAACAGACCACAUUUCUCCUUAUAACUGGUAAAGUUCCAAGUAAGGGCGAGUACAAUAAUGCAGCCCCAGUGAGAGUUCGUGAUGAGGUGUCAACUGUAAAUGUUUUGGUCGUUAAAUGAUGUGCAGUCAGAUUGACAAGUAUUUGAAGUAAUAUUAAUUUAUAAAUUAUCAGUUCUGAGAGAAAUUUUUGCUGAGCUUUGUGCAGGAUACUCUUAAAAAAAAAUGAACCAGAAUUUUAUAUUAUAAGUACAAUGUCAGAUGUACUCCAGACUUCACACAUAUGUUGAUGUUUAUACAUAUGUGGUGAUUAAUUUGUCAAGUGAAGAAAUUUUAUGAAUAAUGUUAGUGGGUGACAGAACAGAAGUACAAAGUCAAUUACAGAGGUCGACAACACUGA
Molecule: long non-coding RNA, 720 nt
Organism: Mercenaria mercenaria
Lineage: Eukaryota; Metazoa; Mollusca; Bivalvia; Venerida; Veneridae
Exons: 2
Source: RefSeq, a predicted model, not a curated record